GCCAGGUGUGGUGGCACAUGCCUAUAAUUCCAGUGACUUGGGAGGCUGAGGCAGGAGGAUUGCAAGUUCAAGGCCAGCCUCAGCAAUUUAGGGAGAUCCUGUCUCAA
RNAcentral lists this small RNA (107 nucleotides) under Marmota monax (woodchuck). The record is from RNAcentral. Lineage: Eukaryota; Metazoa; Chordata; Mammalia; Rodentia; Sciuridae.